Molecule: non-coding RNA, 32 nt
Filed under: Rattus norvegicus (Norway rat)
Lineage: Eukaryota; Metazoa; Chordata; Mammalia; Rodentia; Muridae
Source: RNAcentral
UGUGGUCAGGUAAUAUAAGAGCAUGCCCAAAC